This 71-nucleotide transfer RNA is filed under the name Loxodonta africana (African savanna elephant). It matches the Rfam family "tRNA". Rfam says of the family: Transfer RNA (tRNA) molecules are approximately 80 nucleotides in length. The record is from Rfam by way of RNAcentral. Lineage: Eukaryota; Metazoa; Chordata; Mammalia; Proboscidea; Elephantidae.
ACAUUGGUGGUUCAGUGGAAGAAUUCUUGCCUCCCACGUGGGAGCCCUGGGUUCUAUUCCCAACCAAUGCA